Molecule: small nuclear RNA, 77 nt
Filed under: Sus scrofa (pig)
Lineage: Eukaryota; Metazoa; Chordata; Mammalia; Artiodactyla; Suidae
Description: U1 spliceosomal RNA (ENSSSCG00050013743.1)
Rfam family: U1 spliceosomal RNA
About the family: U1 is a small nuclear RNA (snRNA) component of the spliceosome (involved in pre-mRNA splicing). Its 5' end forms complementary base pairs with the 5' splice junction, thus defining the 5' donor site of an intron. There are significant differences in sequence and secondary structure between metazoan and yeast U1 snRNAs, the latter being much longer (568 nucleotides as compared to 164 nucleotides in human).
Source: RNAcentral
AUGCUUACCCGGCAGGGGACAUACCAUGAUCACGAAGACGGUUUUCCCAGGGCGAGGCUUAUCCAUUGCACUCCGGA